Long non-coding RNA from Syngnathoides biaculeatus (alligator pipefish), 578 nucleotides. RefSeq lists it as uncharacterized. The transcript has 4 exons. NCBI's taxonomy places the organism in Eukaryota, Metazoa, Chordata, Actinopteri, Syngnathiformes, Syngnathidae. The record is from RefSeq and is a predicted model, not a curated record.
CCGAGCUACCUGUUUGUACAAAAAAAUAUGUCGUUAUAUUUUUUUGUUUCACCCCUCCAAAAAUAUGAAAAAAAAGAUUACGCAAAUACGCCAAUUAAUAACAGCAGAGUCGAAGAAGAAAAAGAAGCCGAGCAAGAAAUAAAGGUGAGGUGAAAAAGACAGCCCGCAGGUCGUCAUUUCGGGUGACUUGGAGGACUUCGCCGGUGAGGUUCAGAAACCGGCCAACCACAGGCGGAACUCGGCGGAAGUCCAGGAUCCUAACACAAAAACCGUCAUUCCGCAAGGGGGCACUCGAGCGGAAAAGGUAAGAAUGAGAUCGGUGGAAUAUAUGUGCUGAGGAAGUGACUUUUACCAGUAUGUUGUUUUUUUUUUUUUUUAACUGGCCCUGUUGGCGUUGCGCCAGUGUUAGCACUGUGCUAGCGUGUUGCUGCUGUGCUACUGCCGUGUUGCAGUGAUUUUUACCAGUAUGUUUUUUUGUUUUUUUUUACUGGACCUGUUACCGCUGUGCUAGCGUGUUGCUGCUGUGUUACUGCCCCACAUCCCAGUGAUUUUUUUUAAACCGGCCCUGUUAGCACUGC